GUAGGUGGCAAGCGUUGUCCGGAAUUAUUGGGCGUAAAGCGCGCGCAGGCGGUUCUUUAAGUCUGAUGUGAAAGCCCACGGCUCAACCGUGGAGGGUCAUUGGAAACUGGAGAACUUGAGUACAGAAGAGGAAAGCGGAAUUCCACGUGUAGCGGUGAAAUGCGUAGAGAUGUGGUGGAACACCAGUGGCGAAGGCGGCUUUCUGGUCUGUAACUGACGCUGAGGCGCGAAAGCGUGGGGAGCAAACAGGGAUUAGAUACCCUGGUAGUCCACGCCGUAAACGAUGAGUGCUAGGUGUUAGGGGGGUUUCCGCCCCCUUAGUGCUGCAGCUAACGCAUUAAGCACUCCGCCUGGGGAUACGGCCGCAAGGCUG
RNAcentral lists this ribosomal RNA (373 nucleotides) under uncultured organism. RNAcentral describes it as "partial 16S ribosomal RNA". It matches the Rfam family "Bacterial small subunit ribosomal RNA", at positions 527 to 896 of the family's 1533-position model. The record is from RNAcentral.